This 699-nucleotide ribosomal RNA is filed under the name Cristataspora coffeata. Its description in RNAcentral is "Humphreya coffeata partial large subunit ribosomal RNA". It matches the Rfam family "Eukaryotic large subunit ribosomal RNA", at positions 76 to 762 of the family's 3401-position model. Lineage: Eukaryota; Fungi; Basidiomycota; Agaricomycetes; Polyporales; Polyporaceae. The record is from RNAcentral.
UCCCCUAGUAACUGCGAGUGAAGCGGGAAAAGCUCAAAUUUAAAAUCUGGCGGUCUUUGGCCGUCCGAGUUGUAGUCUGGAGAAGUGCUUUCCGCGCUGGACCGUGUAUAAGUCUCUUGGAACAGAGCAUCAUAGAGGGUGAGAAUCCCGUCUUUGACACGGACUACCAGUGCUUUGUGAUGCGCUCUCAAAGAGUCGAGUUGUUUGGGAAUGCAGCUCAAAAUGGGUGGUGAAUUCCAUCUAAAGCUAAAUAUUGGCGAGAGACCGAUAGCGAACAAGUACCGUGAGGGAAAGAUGAAAAGCACUUUGGAAAGAGAGUUAAACAGUACGUGAAAUUGCUGAAAGGGAAACGCUUGAAGUCAGUCGCGUUGUUCGGAACUCAGCCUUGCUUUUGCUUGGUGCAUUUUCCGGAUGACGGGUCAGCAUCGAUUUUGACCGUCGGAAAAGGGCUGGAGUAAUGUGGCACCUCCGGGUGUGUUAUAGACUUCAGUCGCAUACGGCGGUCGGGAUCGAGGAACGCAGCGCGCCGUAAGGCAGGGGUUCGCCCACUUUCGCGCUUAGGAUGCUGGCAUAAUGGCUUUAAACGACCCGUCUUGAAACACGGACCAAGGAGUCUAACAUACCUGCGAGUGUUUGGGUGGCAAACCCGAGCGCGUAAUGAAAGUGAAAGUUGAGACCUCUGUCGUGGAGGGCAUCGAC